UAUUUUUUUAUUAAUUAUCAAGUAUAAAGAACAAUGCAUAGUGUGAAAACGCGGAUUAUAAAAAAAGUAUAUUAAGUGCGAGCAGAGGAUCAAGCAGAAACAACGCCAAAGGACUACAUUUCCCAGGAUGCACCUCCACCCUUCAGGUGCGACCGCUUUACCUAUGGGCUUGACGGGAAGAUUCAAAAUCGCGAACCGUUACUGCAUGGAUUACUCUCGGUCUCUUUGUUUGCUCAUCGACAUUACGAGGUCAUGUACACUGUGGUCAACUUUGUGGAUGCUGAAUAGGUUUCUGGGUAAAGAUGAUAGAAAUAUAAUGAAGUAACAGUGGAAGCUAAAACAUCAGACUGAUCUAGACACUGAAGAAAUUGAUGUCACUGCAAUCUGGCCAAAAUGAUACAACAAUAUUGAACUAGCCUACUGUAAUGAGCUGCAGAACAACACAGAGACUCCCAGUACAUCAACACAGAAAAUGAAGGCUCCAAAGAGAUGUCUGUCCAGAUGAGGGUGCAUCAACUUUACCUUUGCUGACAACAGUUAACUUAACUCAAACCAUUUAAGGAAAUCGGUUGCCUUAAACCAUUAAGUUUUAAAAAAAACAUACAUUUGAGUACUGUGAACUUAAGUCUUGUGCAAUUAUGCACUUAUAUUUAGGUAGUGUGAACUUAAAUAUAAGUGCAUAACUGCAUGUGACUCUCAAUUUUUUUAAGUUCACAGUACUCAAAUCUAUGUGUUUUAAAACUUGAAUGGUUUAAUGCAACCGGUUUUCUUAAAGGAACAGUAUGUAAGAAAUUUAUAUCAAUUAAUCAUUAAAUGGCCCUGAAAUGUCACUAGACAUUAAGAAAUAAUUUUCAUUUCAAAUACUUAUAUCACUCACAACAGCGGUCUGGCCAAGAUAUUGUCAUUUAAAAAGUGGAGUUGCAGCCCUCAACUGAUGUUUAUGUUGUCGUUUGGUAUAUUGGCCACCAGCUGUGGGAUUGCAGUACCAGUUUUAGCCACACGUUUUGUGAUUGCAAUACCAGUUUUGGCCACAAUCCUACAUACUGUUCCUUUAAAUGUGAGAAAUGACAGUGUUACAGUGAGAAAUGUUUGAUUAAUUCCAAGACAGAGCUCUGCUAUUGAAUCUACACUGCAAAAAAUCACUUUCUAACUUAGGAUUUUUAUCUUGUUUUCAGUAGAAAAACUAAAAAUUCUUAAAUCAAGAUGUAUUUUCUUGAUGAGCAAAAUUACCUUAGAAAAUAUGUGUAGUUUUUAGACAAAAAUAUACAAUUUAAGUAAAUUUGUGCCUAAACAAGCAAAAAUAUCUUAACAGUGGAGUGAGAAAAUUGUGCUUAAAUUAAGUUUUUAUGAAAAAAGAAAAUGUAAGAUUUUUUUCUCACACCAUUGGCAGAUAUUUUUGCUUG
Long non-coding RNA from Paramisgurnus dabryanus, 1403 nucleotides. RefSeq lists it as uncharacterized. NCBI's taxonomy places the organism in Eukaryota, Metazoa, Chordata, Actinopteri, Cypriniformes, Cobitidae. The record is from RefSeq and is a predicted model, not a curated record.